RNAcentral lists this ribosomal RNA (504 nucleotides) under uncultured bacterium. RNAcentral describes it as "bacterial SSU rRNA". It matches the Rfam family "Bacterial small subunit ribosomal RNA", at positions 28 to 529 of the family's 1533-position model. The record is from RNAcentral.
GAUGAACGCUAGCGGCAGGCCUAAUACAUGCAAGUCGAACGGAUAUAUGUUUUUCGGAAUAUAUAUUAGUGGCGCACGGGUGAGUAACACGUACAUAACUUGCCCUCAAGCGGGGGAUAGCCUUGGGAAACUGAGAGUAAUACCCCAUAGAAUUAUUGGACAGCAUCGUUUGAUAAUUAAAACUACGGUGCUUGGGGAUAGAUGUGCGUCUGAUUAGCUAGUUGGUGAGGUAACUGCUCACCAAGGCGACGAUCAGUAGGGGGCGUGAGAGCGUGGCCCCCCACACGGGUACUGAGACACGGACCCGACUCCUACGGGAGGCAGCAGUAAGGAAUAUUGGUCAAUGGAGGGAACUCUGAACCAGCCAUGCCGCGUGAAGGAUGACGGCCCUCUGGGUUGUAAACUUCUUUUGGAUGGGGCGAAAAAACGGGAUUUAUCCUGGACUGACGGUACCAUCAGAAUAAGCACCGGCUAGCUCCGUGCCAGCAGCCGCGGUAAAGUAGU